RNAcentral lists this long non-coding RNA (2113 nucleotides) under Marmota monax (woodchuck). The record is from RNAcentral. Lineage: Eukaryota; Metazoa; Chordata; Mammalia; Rodentia; Sciuridae.
UUUUUAUUAGUUUUGCUUCAGAAUUAUAUUGGGGGGCUGGAGCUGUAGCUCAGUGGCAGAGUGUUUGCCUAGCACGUGUGAGGCACUGGGUUAGAUUCUUAGCACCACAUAAAAAUAAACAAAUACAAUAAAGGCAUGCUGUCCAUUUAUAACUACAAAAAAAAAUUAAAAUUAGGAAGCAUCCUUUUUUUCUACUUUGUCUGGAAGAUUGAAAUAAACUAUUUCUUGAACAUUUGGAGGAACAUACUGUUUAAUUAUCUAAGCUAGAUACUUUUGUUGUUGUUGUUUUGGUAGCAGGGAUUGAACCCAGGGGCGCUUAACCACUGAGCAAUAUCUCCAGUCCUUUUUUUAAAUUUUUAAUUUGCUAAUUUGCUUAGGGCCUCUCUAAGUUUCUGACGCUGGCCUCAAACUUGCAAUCCUCCUACCUUAGCCUCCUGAAUCACUGGGAAUAAUCACUGGGAGUAAAGGUAUGCCCCACCAUGCUUUGCUUAGAUCCUUCUUUUAUUUAUCAGUGACUUAUCCUUCCUUGAUUAAUCACUCUAGAGAUUUGUCUAUUUUAUUAUUUAUCAAAGAAGCAACUUUUGACUAUUGUUCUUGUUGAAUCUUUAACUUUUGUUCUUAUUUUUUAUUACCUCUAUUCUUCUAUUUUCUUUUACUUCUGUUUUUUUCCCCACUCUUUCUUGUUAAAUCUGAUGUUCUUGUCCUUCAUAUUUCACCAUUUUUCUUAAGACAAGAAUUUAGAUCUAGAGGUUUUUCUCUCCAACUUCUGUUUCAUCCCACAAAUUUUGAUGUACAGUCUUUUUAGUUCUGAGUAUUUUUUUCUAUUUCUGUUUUGAUUUCUUAAAUGACUCAUUAUUUGGGAUGAUAUUUUUGUGUACUUUGUUUUAAAAUAUAUUUUUUGUUGUUUAUCUGUAAUUCAAUUGCAUUGAGUUGUUUUAUAUGCUGUCAAACUUCAAAUUCUAUUAAUGUUUGUUUUAUGGAUUUGUACUCAGUCGAUUUUUAUAGUGUACCUUAUAUGUUUAUACCUAUAGGGUCAGCAUUCUAUUUAUAUUCAGUAAAUGAAGGGUAUUAAUUAUGUUUUCAAGUGUUUUAGAUCUUUGCCUUUUUUUUGGGGGGGGUCCUGGUAGAUCUAUCAGUAAUUGUGUUGUGUUAAAGUUUAAUUGCCCUGAUUUGAUCAGUAAAUAUUGUAUACGUGACUUGAAGCAUCACACAGUACCCCAUAAAUGUCUAUACUUAUUAUAUGUUAAACAAAAAAUUUAAACAAAUAAAGAGAAAUGUUAACUAUCCUGAUUUGAUCAUUACACACUAUAAAUAUAUUCUGAAUUAUCACACUGUACCCCAUAAGUCACUUUCUCCUUUUUGUAAUUCUAUUAGGUCAAUACAAAUUUAAGAAUUAUAAUAUCUUCCUGGAAAAUUGAAACUUUGUUAUUUAUAUAGCCAUCCUUCUAAAAUUCUCUUAUCUGUAAUUAGCUUAUUAAGCUUUUUGUUAUUUUAUCUACAUAGGCAAGUUUGGACCAGAGAAAUAGAAUUACUAUGCAUGAUAUAGCAUAAGGAUUUUUUUAGGGGUUAGAUUUUCCAUAAUUGUAAACUCUGCAAGACUGUUAUCUUUGCAUCUAUUGUUGAGCCUCAAAUUACUGGCUGGCAGUCAGAGGGUUGGACAUGAAGUGGGGGAGUGCAAGGACAAACAGGAGCCCAUGAAGACAACCUAAAACCUGCGUAUGCUUCCAACAUUGAUGAUAUGGAUGGCCUUCAGGAGAAGCUGGUGCCCUUUGUCAAAUAGCCAUAUACACACCUGGCCCAGGAAGAAGUUGGAGGAGGAGAGCCAAUCGUAGCUAAAGGCAUUCUGGCCAGAUGCUGCCCUAUGCCAGUAUGGUGGACUACUAAAUCAGCAGUAUUGUGCACAAGCCCCCACAGUGGUUGGUACCCUACGUUAACUUUCAGAGGGUGAAAAUGGCUGCUCUUAGAAUAGAAUAGACAUUAUGAUUGCUGUAUGUAUAUAGGUGACUCUAUGACCAGUGUGAUUCUGCAAUCUGUACAAUUAGAAAAAUGAGAAAUUAUACCCCAAUGAUUCAAAUGUAUGAAUUGCCAAGAUCAUUGUAAUAUCAUGAAUAGC